RNAcentral lists this ribosomal RNA (459 nucleotides) under uncultured bacterium. Its description in RNAcentral is "bacterial SSU rRNA". It matches the Rfam family "Bacterial small subunit ribosomal RNA", at positions 923 to 1379 of the family's 1533-position model. The record is from RNAcentral.
GCACAAGCGGUGGAGCAUGUGGUUCAAUUCGAAGCAACGCGCAGAACCUUACCAGCCCUUGACAUCCCGGUCGCGGAGAGCAGAGACGCACUCCUUCAGUUCGGCUGGACCGGAGACAGGUGCUGCAUGGCUGUCGUCAGCUCGUGUCGUGAGAUGUUGGGUUAAGUCCCGCAACGAGCGCAACCCCCGUCCUUAGUUGCUACCAUUUAGUUGAGCACUCUAAGGAGACUGCCGGUGAUAAGCCGCGAGGAAGGUGGGGAUGACGUCAAGUCCUCAUGGCCCUUACGGGCUGGGCUACACACGUGCUACAAUGGCGGUGACAAUGGGAUGCUAAGGGGUGACCCUUCGCAAAUCUCAAAAAGCCGUCUCAGUUCGGAUUGGGCUCUGCAACUCGAGCCCAUGAAGUUGGAAUCGCUAGUAAUCGUGGAUCAGCACGCCACGGUGAAUACGUUCCCGGGC